GGCAGUUCUUGGGUGAUGUACCCCAGAGUCGGGCUCCCUCCUCUCUGGUUCUGGGGUGCGUCACCCGAGAACCACC
Non-coding RNA from Myotis davidii, 76 nucleotides. Lineage: Eukaryota; Metazoa; Chordata; Mammalia; Chiroptera; Vespertilionidae. The record is from Rfam.